UACGUAGGGCGCGAGCGUUGUCCGGAAUUAUUGGGCGUAAAGAGCUUGUAGGCGGUUUGUCGCGUCUGCUGUGAAAGGCCGGAGCUUAACUCCGUGUAUUGCAGUGGGUACGGGCAGACUAGAGUGCAGUAGGGGAGACUGGAAUUCCUGGUGUAGCGGUGGAAUGCGCAGAUAUCAGGAGGAACACCGAUGGCGAAGGCAGGUCUCUGGGCUGUAACUGACGCUGAGAAGCGAAAGCAUGGGGA
Molecule: ribosomal RNA, 245 nt
Filed under: uncultured Rothia sp.
Lineage: Bacteria; Bacillati; Actinomycetota; Actinomycetes; Micrococcales; Micrococcaceae
Description: partial 16S ribosomal RNA
Rfam family: Bacterial small subunit ribosomal RNA
Source: RNAcentral